RNAcentral lists this ribosomal RNA (795 nucleotides) under uncultured bacterium. RNAcentral's name for it is "bacterial SSU rRNA". It matches the Rfam family "Bacterial small subunit ribosomal RNA", at positions 8 to 796 of the family's 1533-position model. The record is from RNAcentral.
AGAGUUUGAUCAUGGCUCAGAGUGAACGCUGGCGGCAGGCCUAACACAUGCAAGUCGAGCGGCAGCACGGGUAGCAAUACCUGGUGGCGAGCGGCGGACGGGUGAGGAAUACAUCGGAAUCUGCCUUGUCGUGGGGGAUAACGUAGGGAAACUUACGCUAAUACCGCAUACGACCGAGAGGUGAAAGCGGGGGAUCGCAAGACCUCGCGCGACAAGAUGAGCCGAUGUCGGAUUAGCUAGUUGGCGGGGUAAGAGCCCACCAAGGCGACGAUCCGUAGCUGGUCUGAGAGGAUGAUCAGCCACACUGGAACUGAGACACGGUCCAGACUCCUACGGGAGGCAGCAGUGGGGAAUAUUGGACAAUGGGCGCAAGCCUGAUCCAGCCAUGCCGCGUGGGUGAAGAAGGCCUUCGGGUUGUAAAGCCCUUUUGUUGGGGACGAAAUCGUACGGGCGAAUAUCCCGUGCGGAUGACGGUACCCAAAGAAUAAGCACCGGCUAACUUCGUGCCAGCAGCCGCGGUAAUACGAAGGGUGCAAGCGUUACUCGGAAUUACUGGGCGUAAAGCGUGCGUAGGCGGUUUGUUAAGUCCGUUGUGAAAGCCCUGGGCUCAACCUGGGAAUUGCAGUGGAUACUGGCGAGCUAGAGUGCGGUAGAGGAUGGUGGAAUUCCCGGUGUAGCGGUGAAAUGCGUAGAGAUCGGGAGGAACACCCGUGGCGAAGGCGGCCAUCUGGACCAGCACUGACGCUGAGGCACGAAAGCGUGGGGAGCAAACAGGAUUAGAUACCCCCGUAGUCC